UCUUUUCCCCAAUCCAGUGCAGGAGGGAAGUCCCUUUUCCCAAAUGGACACCUGGCUGCCUAUUAGCCUCUACAAGGCUUUUUGCCUUGACAGGGAGGGUCCUAGCCCUCUUUCAACAACCCCAGCCCCCUCCUUGCUUUACCAAACCUGCCUUAUUCCAUCUCUCUCAAACCCUGUCCAGUUUUGUAGUCAUAAUCCUCCAUUUUGGUUUCUGGCAGUCCCUAACCACACCCCUUACCCUGAAACCCACCCCUAACCAUGCCCCUAACACCUCCAAGUUGUAGUGCUGCCUCUUGGCCACUAGAGGUCAAUAUUGAGUGAUGAUUUUUUCCUCCUUUUUUUUCUCUUUUCUUCUUUUUUUCUUCCUCUUUUAUCCCCCCCCCCCCUUUCCUACUCAGCUAAAGUGGUUGUUUGUUGCCAUUAGAGGUCAGCAACAAAUAAAUAAUUAAAUAAUUUCCCCCUUCUUUUUCAAUGAAUAAGAAUGCAAUAAAAUCAUAACAAUAAAAUAAAAUGAGCUAAAUACCCUCACCUUACUCUGUUCCCAUCCCUUAUAAUAAUAAUAAUUAAAAAAUAAAUCAAUAAAAAUAUACAUUUUUUUCUUUUUUGAUAAAAAUGCUAAUCAGAAUAAAUGCUACCAUGCAUGAAAUUUGUCUGCUUUUUUGUGUAAUUAGAGGCAAUGUAACAUUCCGAAUUCCCUCCUUCUUCUUGUACUCCUGGGAAACUUUAUUUUUCUGAUGCUCAAUAUUAAGACAAAAAAUGUUACUAUAUGAGAGAUUAAAGCAGAAAUGCAGGCCAACAGGAAAAUUCAAUCAAAAAAUUUCAAACACUUACAUGAUCUAAGGAAAAGAUCUCAUCCAAAAGAAGUCUGAAUUUUGCAAGCCUUUUCCUGAACUACAAAUAGAAGACAAUCCUAUUUCUUUCAAAAUGGAGAUGAAACACCCCUCUUGUAUACAUCAGUCCAUAGCUCAAAAUCCUUCAGAGGCAAACAAGAACAGAGGAUCAAGAGAACACCCUGGGUGAAGAGACAAUAAUGGUCUUCAUCAGAGUCUCCAAUAAAGGAAGAAGAAAUUUAGGGUGAUGAUUUUGCUUUGACAAAGGAGCAAGGUGGCACAGAGAGAGAUAGUUGCAUAUGGAAUCAUAAAGACAAGUUUCAUUUGGGCUCCAGACAUUCAUUAGUUGUGUGACACUGGAAGAACUACUAAAAUACUCAGCUUCAGUUUUGUCAUCUGGAAAAUAGGGAUAAUGUUCACAGUUACCUUACAGAGUUGUUAUGAGGAUCAAAUGAGAUAAAAGGCAAAUCACUUUGCAAGCAUUAAAACUCAAUAUAAAUGAUAUUAUUUAUAUAAAUGUUGCAUCUCUUUCAAUAUUUUACACCAUGCACAAUAAACUUAUUAAAUAUUUGUCAAAU
Molecule: non-coding RNA, 1408 nt
Organism: Monodelphis domestica (gray short-tailed opossum)
Lineage: Eukaryota; Metazoa; Chordata; Mammalia; Didelphimorphia; Didelphidae
Source: RefSeq, a predicted model, not a curated record